This 657-nucleotide ribosomal RNA is filed under the name uncultured bacterium. Its description in RNAcentral is "bacterial SSU rRNA". It matches the Rfam family "Bacterial small subunit ribosomal RNA", at positions 874 to 1515 of the family's 1533-position model. The record is from RNAcentral.
GAGAGGCACAUUCUUUCCAUGAGGUUGUGGGUUCCUCGCAGAAAACCAUAGCCCCGGGGAUGCGCCCAAAGAAAAAAAAAAGGAUGGCGGCCCCACAAGGUGUGAUUUGGUUUAUUCGACAACGGAGACCUUACCAGGCUGACAUCGACUGAAGGAGCAGAGAUGUCCCUCUCUCGAGACAGAGACAGUGUGCAUGCUGUCGUCAGCUCGUGUCGUGAGAUGUGGGUAAGUCCCGCAACGAGCGCAACCCCUAUCCCAUGUACCAUCAUUGAGUUGGGGACUCAUGGGAGACUGCCAGGGACAACCUGGAGGAAGGCGGGGAUGACGUCAAGUCAUCGUGCCCCUUAUGACUUGGGCUACACACGUGCUACAAUGACGUAAACAAAGGGAGGCGGAGUCGUGAGGCCGAGCGAAUCCCCAAAAGGCGUCUCAGUUCGGAUUGCAGGCUGCAACUCGCCUGUAUGAAGUCGGAAUUGCUAGUAAUCGCGGAUCAGCAUGCCGCGGUGAAUACGUUCCCGGGCCUUGUACACACCGCCCGUCACACCAUGAGAGCCGGGAACACCCGAAGUCCGUAGUCUAACCGCAAGGGGGACGCGGCCGAAGGUGGGUUUGGUAAUUGGGGUGAAGUCGUAACAAGGUAGCCGUUCGAGAACGAGC